This 262-nucleotide long non-coding RNA is filed under the name Olea europaea (common olive). Its description in RNAcentral is "long non-coding RNA (OEUR_LNC014196)". The record is from RNAcentral. Lineage: Eukaryota; Viridiplantae; Streptophyta; Magnoliopsida; Lamiales; Oleaceae.
AAGAAGAGGCGGCACCUUGUGGUUCUUGUUCCUUGAAUAAAGGAAGAUGUGAUAUCUUUGAGUCCUCAUUCCUUGAAUAAAGAAAGAUGUGGCAUUUUGGAUUCCUCGUUCCUUGAAAAAAGGAAAAAGCAAAUCGCCAGACGUGUUUGCCCUUGUAAAAGGAGGCUUUCUUGGCCUAUUCGUAGGAUGUUUAUUCCUCGUCACGUCAAAUGUUUAUUCCUGACUUCGUGAGAUGUUUAUUGCUUGUCUCUCACUAUCGUCG